GGCCUCAUAGCUCAGUUGGCUAGAGCGUUGGCUGUACUCAAGCCUUUCCUUGCUGGCGUGGGUUCGAAUCCCACCAAGGCCG
Molecule: transfer RNA, 82 nt
Filed under: Schistocephalus solidus
Lineage: Eukaryota; Metazoa; Platyhelminthes; Cestoda; Diphyllobothriidea; Diphyllobothriidae
Rfam family: tRNA
About the family: Transfer RNA (tRNA) molecules are approximately 80 nucleotides in length. Their secondary structure includes four short double-helical elements and three loops (D, anti-codon, and T loops).
Source: Rfam by way of RNAcentral